UACGUAGGGUGCAAGCGUUGUCCGGAAUUAUUGGGCGUAAAGAGCUCGUAGGCGGUUCGUCGCGUCGGCUGUGAAAACCCGGAGCUCAACUCCGGGCCUGCAGUCGAUACGGGCAGGCUAGAGUUCGGUAGGGGAGACUGGAAUUCCUGGUGUAGCGGUGAAAUGCGCAGAUAUCAGGAGGAACACCGGUGGCGAAGGCGGGUCUCUGGGCCGAUACUGACGCUGAGGAGCGAAAGCGUGGGGAGCGAACAGG
RNAcentral lists this ribosomal RNA (253 nucleotides) under uncultured bacterium. RNAcentral's name for it is "partial 16S ribosomal RNA". It matches the Rfam family "Bacterial small subunit ribosomal RNA", at positions 524 to 776 of the family's 1533-position model. The record is from RNAcentral.